This is an RNA transcript of Fragaria vesca subsp. vesca, 1387 nucleotides long. It is a transcript of the gene named pentatricopeptide repeat-containing protein At3g21470-like, with no coding region annotated. NCBI's taxonomy places the organism in Eukaryota, Viridiplantae, Streptophyta, Magnoliopsida, Rosales, Rosaceae. The transcript has 3 exons. The record is from RefSeq and is a predicted model, not a curated record.
AUGCCUGAGAGAAAUGUGGUAAGUUGGAAUGCCACGAUUGGUGGGUACUGGAGAAAUGGGGAUGCAGCAUCUGCAUUGUCUUUGUUUGAGAAUAUGUCAUUGCGGACGUAUGUGACUUGGGUUGAGAUGAUUAGUGGGUUUGCGAGGACUGGAGAUACUGUUAGUGCUAGGAGGUUGUUUGAUCAGGUUCCACCGGAGUUGAAGAAUGUGAUUACGUGGACUGUGAUGGUUGAUGGAUAUUGUAGCAAUGGGCAGAUGGAGAUGGCAAGGGAACUUUUCGAAGCAAUGCCCCAGCGCAACUUCUUUGUUUGGUCGUCAAUGAUUUCUGGGUAUUUCAAGAUAGGUGAUGUUGAGGAGGCUAAGACGAUAUUUGAUAGAAUCCCAGUCCGGAACUUGGUAAAUUGGAAUUCGAUGAUGUCUGGAUAUGCGCAAAAUGGAUUUUGUGAGGAAGCUUUGAAAGCAUUUGAGAACAUGCAAGCUGAAGGCUUUGAGCCAGAUGAGUUUACUGUUGUGAGUGUCUUAUCUGCUUGUUCUCAGUCUGGGCUAUUAGAUGUUGGCAAGGAUAUACAUAACAUGUUAAGUCAUAACAGGCUUAAUCAGAUUGUUCACAAUGCUCUUGUAGACAUGUAUGCAAAAUGUGGCGACUUGAUCAAUGCAAGGUUGAUUUUUGAGGAGAUGACUGAGAGGAACAGUGCUUGUUGGAAUGCUAUGAUUUCAAGCAUGGCUAUUCAUGGACAGUGCAAGGAGGCUCUUGAAUUGUUUAGCAGAAUGGGGGAUUCAAAUGAAAAGCCUGAUGAGAUUACCUUUCUUGCUGUUCUGUCAGCUUGUGCGCAUGGAGGUUUAGUAGAUGAAGGCAUGGAAAUUUUCUCCAAGAUGCAGAAGAAAUAUGGUUUGGAAGCCAAAAUUAAGCAUUAUGGGUGCUUAGUUGACCUAUUGGGACGGGCUGGAAGGUUAAGAGAGUGACUUACUCUUUAGUCAAAAAUAUGCCCAUCAAACCCAAUGACAUGGUUUGGGGAGCAACGCUUGGAGCUUGCCGGAUUUAUAUGGAUAUGGAAAUGACAGAACAGGUAGCAAAAGAUAUUAGCACGCUAAAUUCAAGCAUUCGGUCAGCCGAUAAUUCACAUUAUGUGCUUCUGUCAAAUAUUUAUGCUGCUUCUGAUAGAUGGGAAAAAGCUGAGAGGACGAGAAUGGACUUGGUAAACGAAGGCUUUGAAAAGACACCUGCCCGCAGUGCAUUUAUGCCCUGUGGCACAUAGCUUGGAUGCCUUUCAGGGUAAAUCAUGCUCUGUGUUGAGUCGAUCAAUUACUAACUCCAAUCAGCAAGCGGUGAGUACAACGCUUACCAUGAAACUAUUAGUGGCUAUACCAGAGAAGCCAUGAAGCACUA